AAGGCUCCAUCAAUAGUCAACGCUUUCAUCCACACCUUCAUCGGAAAAAGUAAAAUCCUGACCCAAAAUGGACGCUUCCGGCGCCGUCAAGUCACCGAAAAAUGAAAAGGUAGAACCACAUUCUAGUUCACUAACCUCAGCAUCAGCCACAUCAUCAAUUACUGAACAAGAAUCCCUCAAAUUGACGGGAGAACAAAGAACCUCAAAGCGGCCGAGAAUGGGUUGGACGCCGCACCUUCACAAAAAAUUCAUAGAUGUGGUUGCCUGCUUGGGUAUUCAAAACGCGACACCGAUGACAAUUAUGGAGCUAAUGGAUGUGGCUGGGUUGUCCCAUGAAUGUGUGGCGAGUCAUUUGAAGAGAUACAGGCAUUAUUUGCGUAGCAUGCGAAAGGAUGAUGAUCCUCCUCCUACUACCCUCCAACUAUUCGAUAAAAUGCCUCAAUGUUUGGCCGGAACCCACCAAGUAUUUGAUGAAAUGCCUUCUGAUGGGAUGAUCGUGGGUGACGCCUUAUCUUAUUGUGCUUUGUUUCCUCCUGAUCAUGAUUUUGAAAAAAAAUACGCUGAUUCAGUUAUGGAUGGCUGAUGGACUUGUUCUUCACAAGCCAAUGGAGAGAAUUGCUGGCCUUUUUUUUGAUUGUUGUCUGAACAAGGGUUACUUUCAGUUCUCCAGAACAAAUGUGUUGACUGGAAAUGCAUUGUACAAAUUCAAGGGAGAUGACCAUGUGCCAAGUCAUAUGGUUAGGAUAGAAGGCAAUUCCAACUUAAACAAUGUAUCUCCAGAAGUCUCUCAUGUGUCUAUAAGGUGUGACACUCUGAAAGAUUAUACUGGUUUGAAAAGAUUAGAGCGGCUAAGAACGCUAAUGUUUCUCCAAGGCCAUAACAUUAGCUUCAAACAAGUCCCACGCGAUCUGUUUUUGUUAUUGAGGCAGCUCCGGGUUUUGGAUUUGAGUCGGACAUGUAUCUUGGAGCUGCCAAGCUCUAUAGGGAAUAUGAAAUGUUUAUGUUAUCUAGACCUUUCAGAGAAUCCCAUCAAACAUUUGCCUGAAUCAAUGAGCUGCCUUGAAAAUUUACAGACCCUGAAACUCAAAGGUUGUUUGAAGCUCUGUGCCUUGCCUAAAGGUAUGAGAAAGAUGACCAGCUUACGCCAUCUUGAUUUUGAUGUCCUUCACCAAAUUCGCUCAAUGCCCCAAGGGAUGGGGGCUUUAACUGACAUCAGAACUCUAUCAGCUUUUCUUGUUGGUGUGGAAGAAGGGUGCAGUAUAAGACAGUUAAAGAACAUGAAUAACCUCUCAGGAAGCUUUUGCAUCUCCAGGCUUGAAAAUGUAUUGACAAAGGAUGAGGCUGAGGAGGCUUGUUUGUCCGACAAGUCAGAGCUGAAAAAACUGGAGUUGCAUUGGAGUGAUACACAAUAUGAAGAUAUCCUAGGUUAUGGAGAGGUUCUCUAUUCUCUUCAGCCACAUACAAGCCUAGAAGAGUUACUCAUAAGUUGUUAUGGUGGUUUUGAACUGCCUAGUUGGAUCUGUAAUCUAGCAUUCUCUGAACUUGUUAGUGUCAGCCUCUUUGAGUGUGAAAACUGUUUAGUCCUACCAUCACUCGGUCAACUACCUUCAUUGAAAUUCCUAAAUAUAACUGACUUCCACAAACUAGAGUUGAUUGAUUAUGAUUUCUAUGGAGGUUUAGGCAUUUCAGGGUACAUUGCCUUCCCUAAGUUAGAGAACUUGACUCUUGAAAACAUGUCUAAUUUAGAAGAAUGGUUGGCAUACGGGAGUUUUGACUUCCCUCGCCUCAUUAAGCUCACAAUUAAGCAUUGUCCCAAACUCUACAGUCUACGCACACUAUCAUGCCUUUCUUCCCUUGAAAAUUUGGAAAUUAGUCAUUGCACGAUGCUUGCUUCUUGUCUUGAUGGAAAACUACCUGCUGGGGUGGAAACUUUCAUCGUUGAGGAGUGCCCCUUGAUAACUGCAAAGUUCUUGAAGGAUGGAACUCAGGAUUGGAUGAAGGUUGCACAUAUUCCGCAUGUAUGGAUUGAUCAUCAGGAGAUGGCGUUUGGUCAAAGAUCUUCAUAGACAUCUGUUUUUUUUUUCUUGGAUGUAUGUUCCUCCCAGAGUAAUUUCAUCUUGGCAGGGACAUGAAGAAAAUAAAUGAAUGGUUUGGCUUCCUUCUCAUUUCACAAAAGAGGAAAAUACUCUGAUUUUGUGGCUGCAUUUUUUUUAUUUGCAUUGAAGCCUGAGUAUCUGUUAAACCUGCAUCAAGUUUUAUUAGUUGCUUGCUCUAGCAACUGUCAUGUAGAGGAAGAUGUGCUGGAAUCAGACGCUUACAUCACCUGCAAGACACCGGAAAAGGACCAAGUUGAAACUUCAGAAGAUAGUAAGAGAUUUUAGUAUUUGCAAAUCUUAUUCUAGUACACUCACUUCAAUAUCAGGAGUGUCACGAGCUUCUAAACAAGGUUCCCUGGAACUCAAGGUGGCCAAAAUGAUUUUUUUGCUGUUGAAUUGUAUGGAGAAAAGAGGAAAAGGAGGGGGCAUCUGAGACAGAGAACGACCAGAACCAGCAUUUUCUGAAGUAUUUGAGAACCUUACACAUAAUUUAUGUUUUUUUUAUUUGUGCACAUAAUAAUCUAUUGAUUUUAGCCCUUAUGUGAGGCAAAUGAUCUAAAUAGUAUUUGGGUUCCUUAAAAGAUGUGGUUUUAUUGUCUUGUAACAUUAUUAUUACCUGUUUCACUAUUGACUAGGAUUGUAUGAUCCUAGAGUUCCAUUCUA
RNA transcript from Beta vulgaris subsp. vulgaris (sugar beet), 2759 nucleotides. It is a transcript of the gene named putative disease resistance protein RGA4, with no coding region annotated. The record is from RefSeq and is a predicted model, not a curated record. NCBI's taxonomy places the organism in Eukaryota, Viridiplantae, Streptophyta, Magnoliopsida, Caryophyllales, Amaranthaceae. The transcript is spliced from 2 exons.